UGGGGGAUAUUGCACAAUGGGCGAAAGCCUGAUGCAGCGACGCCGCGUGGGGGAUGAAGGCUUUCGGGUUGUAAACCUCUUUCGCUAUCGAACAAGGCCCGCUUAGGGUGGGUUGAGGGUAGGUGGAGAAGAAGCGCCGGCUAACUACGUGCCAGCAGCCGCGGUAAUACGUAGGGCGCGAGCGUUGUCCGGAAUUAUUGGGCGUAAAGGGCUUGUAGGCGGCUUGUUGCGCCUGCUGUGAAAACGCGGGGCUUAACUUCGCGCGUGCAGUGGGUACGGGCAGGCUUGAGUGUGGUAGGGGUGACUGGAAUUCCAGGUGUAGCGGUGGAAUGCGCAGAUAUCUGGAGGAACACCGAUGGCGAAGGCAGGUCACUGGGCAUUACUGACGCUGAGGAGCGAAAGCAUGGGUAGCGAACAGG
RNAcentral lists this ribosomal RNA (419 nucleotides) under bacterium. Its description in RNAcentral is "partial 16S ribosomal RNA". It matches the Rfam family "Bacterial small subunit ribosomal RNA", at positions 355 to 776 of the family's 1533-position model. The record is from RNAcentral.